UGUUUGAAAAAAGUAAAGAAAAAACUUUUUGAUCUGCUAGCAUGUAACUGCAGGCUUGAAGUUCUUCCUUGUGAUGACAGGAAUAUCAAAUGCUCAGGUUGUUAAAAUGUGCAUCUUUACUGUAGUUGUGUUGGUAGUACAAAAGUUCCUUUGGAAGAGCGCUCCUAUUUAAAAGACCAAAGGGAGAAAAUUGGUACUAAAGAAAAGUUUCAAAUAGGAGGUAUUGAUAACUCUGUUUUAUCACCUACCUCAAGAAAUACAAUGCAAACAAAAGCUUCUGAUGAAGAAAUUUAUAUUAAAGAGUUUGACACAAUCAUGGAUUCAGAUCAGAGUGAAACUUCAAUUUCAUCAUUAAAUCAGACUAGAUCAAAGUACUAUAACACUACCCACUAUCUCAAAUUUGCUUUAGAGAUAAUUAGAUAUGGAAUAUCAGAUAAAGCAGCUGCCCCU
Molecule: non-coding RNA, 450 nt
Organism: Hydra vulgaris (swiftwater hydra)
Lineage: Eukaryota; Metazoa; Cnidaria; Hydrozoa; Anthoathecata; Hydridae
Source: RefSeq, a predicted model, not a curated record